This is a long non-coding RNA of Helianthus annuus (common sunflower), 1190 nucleotides long. RefSeq lists it as uncharacterized. The transcript has 4 exons. The record is from RefSeq and is a predicted model, not a curated record. Lineage: Eukaryota; Viridiplantae; Streptophyta; Magnoliopsida; Asterales; Asteraceae.
AAUAUUUUUUACCCUGAAUUUCAUUCCAAACCCUAAUAGCGUCUCCUUCAUCACGCUCACAAUCGUCUCCCUCCCCACCACUCGCGUCUCCAUCUCUCCCAAACCCUAAUCAACUCUAUCUACUUCCCUCAAAACAUACGCAGAGUAGAGGUGGAGAUGGAGUUAGCUAGAGAAACAUAUACAGAGAAGAGGCGGGAUAACAGGGGCUGCCGGGACCUUCUGUUCCCACCGUCGGUUCUAUCCACCACCGUUCAGGCUUCAGCCACACCACCUCGCCGAGCCUCUUACGCCACCUUCGACCUUCGAGGACGGUGGACGAGCUUGGAUUACAAAGGACACUGGUUAUAGACCAUUUAGAAGAACUAGAGCGGCUUCUCAACGGGAUUUCUGUACUAAAGGAACCGGUCUGCGGGUUGUGGGUAGUAACCGAUGAUGCGAUCCAACUUCAAAAGCACAUCCAUCAAUUAUAAUAAAUCUAGAAAAUGAUGGACAUUUUCUUAUGGACAAAGCUUAUGGUGUAAGUACAUAUAAUGAUGUCCAAAUAUUUGAUACAUAAAAAAAUGAAUUUUAUCAUCUUCUAUCAAAGAAGCAAAGAUCCUUGGUCCUAAAGUACCAUAGUACAAUACAAAUUGUAUUAAUAUAUCUUGCUAGUUAUAUACGAACAUAUAUCUUUAAUUUCAUUGGCAAGAUAUAACUCAUGUACAAUGAGGAGAUAAUGUAAUGGAUAAAACAUAUAUUUUCUAUACUCUUAAGGUACGAAAGAUAUGGGUUCAUAUUUUACUAACCCAUCAACAAGUUUGGUUAGUUUUGUAAAUGCAGGGAUUAUAACAAAACACAUUCAUGGAUUAUGGUAUCUGCUUACAAGAGGAGGCAAUUAAAGUUUCACAUGAAGAUCAUACAUCAACGCUCAUUGAAGGAUUGUACAUCAAGAGAUUAAACAAAAAUUACUUACUACAAAAGUUUUCAGCAACUUUCAUAGAAGAUCAAAUUUCAUAGAAGAUUGGCACCUAUUACUUAAAUGAUACAUAUCAUAAUGAGAGGGAGUUUUACACAAGUUGCACUCUUUUUUCCUUCGCUAAGUUUUAUCCCAUUGGGUUUUCUUAGUAAGGUUUUUAAUGAGGCAACGUACAUUGGAAUCUCUAUAAUUGAAAAAAAAAAUUAAAGGAAAUACAUGAAGCAUUUUUGGUCAA